Triticum aestivum (bread wheat) is the source of this 135-nucleotide non-coding RNA. Lineage: Eukaryota; Viridiplantae; Streptophyta; Magnoliopsida; Poales; Poaceae. The record is from Rfam.
UAAGUACUCCCUCCAUCCCAAAAUUCUUGUCUUAGAUUUGUCUAGAUAUGGAUGUAUCUAACAUUAAAACGUAACUAGAUACAUUCGUAUUUAGACAAAUCUAAGACAAGAAUUUUGAGACGGAGGGAGUAUAUU